Molecule: ribosomal RNA, 491 nt
Filed under: Colletotrichum gloeosporioides
Lineage: Eukaryota; Fungi; Ascomycota; Sordariomycetes; Glomerellales; Glomerellaceae
Description: eukaryotic LSU rRNA
Rfam family: 5.8S ribosomal RNA (bases 147-300)
Source: RNAcentral
UUGUGAUAUACUAUAACUGUUGCUUCGGCGGGUAGGGUCUCCGCGACCUCCCGGCCUCCCGCCUCCGGGCGGGUCGGCGCCCGCCGGAGGAUAACCAAACUCUGAUUUAACGACGUUUCUUCUGAGUGGUACAAGCAAAUAAUCAAAACUUUUAACAACGGAUCUCUUGGUUCUGGCAUCGAUGAAGAACGCAGCGAAAUGCGAUAAGUAAUGUGAAUUGCAGAAUUCAGUGAAUCAUCGAAUCUUUGAACGCACAUUGCGCCCGCCAGCAUUCUGGCGGGCAUGCCUGUUCGAGCGUCAUUUCAACCCUCAAGCUCUGCUUGGUGUUGGGGCCCUACAGCUGAUGUAGGCCCUCAAAGGUAGUGGCGGACCCUCUCGGAGCCUCCUUUGCGUAUAACUUUACGUCUCGCACUGGGAUCCGGAGGGACUCUUGCCGUAGAACCCCCAAUUUUCCAAAGGUUGACCUCGGAUCAGGUAGGAAUACCCGCUAA